RNAcentral lists this ribosomal RNA (292 nucleotides) under uncultured Planctomycetota bacterium. RNAcentral describes it as "uncultured planctomycete partial 16S ribosomal RNA". Lineage: Bacteria; Pseudomonadati; Planctomycetota. The record is from RNAcentral.
GGACUACUCGGGUUUCUAAUCCCGUUUGCUCCCCUGGCUUUCGCGCCUCAGCGUCAGAAAAGGUCCAGCAGCUCGCUUUCGCCACCGGCGUUCCUUCCGAUAUCAACGCAUUUCACCGCUCCACCGGAAGUUCCAGCUGCCCCUACCUCGCUCGAGAUGCACAGUAUCCAAGGCCAUUUUCCGGUUGAGCCGAAAGAUUUCACCCCGGACUUGUGCACCCGCCUACGCGCCCUUUAAGCCCAGUGAUUCCGAACAACGUUCGCACGGUUCGUCUUACCGCGGCUGCUGGCAC